UAGUUUCUUCCUGUUCUUUGUUUCUGGACUUGUCUUCUUAAGCUAAACUUGUUGUUUACAAAUCAUGUUGUUAGUGUGAUUGUUUUCUUUUCAUGUGCGCCAUGCUAAAGCUAUGCAGCGCAGCUUCGCAUCCGCGAUCAAGAAGCAAGUAUAGCCUGAACACAACUGUGUAUUCCAUCGUUGGGGUCAUGUUCUUAUUGUUUCUACAUGUUUGAAACAGCAAGUGAGAAAAGAAGGACGAAAUAGAAAAGGAAAAAUGCCAUAUAAACGCCAUAUAUAGAUUUAAACGGACCCAUAGUUGCUAACGAGAAAGAAAUCACUUAAACUGCUGGGAAGGCAACUCCAGCUCUUCAACUAUCUUGUUGGACGCGACUACGUGUCACAAGGUAAAUAUUGCAAGCAGCUAUUUCACCUAACGCGGCAUAGUAAAACAUUUUGUAUUUUUAAACGUUUUUUGUUCGGCUAAUGAUCUAUACCUUAACUCUUACCUUUUUUUUUUUGAAUGGCACGCGGCCUAAUGUGAAAAUGCACACAAAGCAUGCCAGUCUAUUUGAUAGAAUACUGCAACAGCGAAUUACUGAGAAUGUGAUGUUCCACCUUUCUCCCUUUUUCUUUGCCGGAACGCCAGUCCAUUAACAACAUCUUCAGGGCACAGUACGCUGUAUAGCACAAGAAGUUCAACGCCCAGAAGGCUGUUCGUUAAGAUUUUCUAGGUAUUCAUAUUUGGCCAAAGACGCUGCACGUGCAAUUGAGAGAUGGACCGAAGAGGAGGAAGCAGGAGCUGGCCGCGUUCGAGCGCGUUGCCACGCGAACAUGCUCGAACACUAGACGUUCGAGAAACGCAUGAGCUAAAAUCGCGUUUCCACGCGCAGUCGUUCGGAAGGCACACCGAGACAACCCUGUAGGCAACGUCGCUGCCCCGAGGCGGCCAUCUCAGGCCGCCUCAACGGUGGUGUGCUGGCUUUAGUGGUUCCUUAGUGGUUCCUGGUGGCAAGCUACCACAGGAUGACCCCGGUACUUCGCUCAAGGCGGCCCCGUUUCGGUAGUGCAACCGGCUGUCUCGCGGUUUCUCCCUCCACCAGGCAAGGCAGGUCCUGCAGCACUUCAUCUGCGACGGGGAGAGGUUCUGGUUCAUCGGCGUUCCAUCGGCGACAAGUAUUAAGUGGCCAGGUGGCAGUCCUCAGCAAAGACAGCAGAUACCAAGCGGGAGCUCACAAUGUGACGAUCGCCCAGUUGCAUCUCCGAACUUCAGCAGACUUCCCAGUGCGGGUAGCUGGAGGCGCAAUAGGGAAUAGCACGUCAGUCCCUGACCCCGCCGGAAGACCAUGGCGUCGUUCACGAUCGCCGUGAAACUGCAGCCGAGCAACACAUCAGCCCUUGGCACACCAGCGAGACAUCGAGAGAUGCCAUCUGCCUAGAGGAGCUGACUCGGCCACCGGGUGUUCCAUGGCUGUGUUCGCGCAUGCGCCCGACGUCUCCUUUACCGCGGAGGGCCACGCAGAGAAGCCACCGAGUCCAGCCAAGGUACAAGGGCGAGGCCAGCCGGUCGUCGCCCACGAAAGCCACAGUGGAGAGCGCACAGGCUUCAGUGGCCACGGGGCUCCACGCCGUGAAUUCGACCAUGCAUCAGGAGUGCUUAGGCCACGCUGUCAUCAGUCCCUGCCUUGCCGCGAGAUUGUGUGUUUAAAGGGACGAACUGUAGGACGCAGUUCUUCACAUCCUUGCUUUGUUGGCGGCAUAUUCAUGCGUGACUUGUGCGUUUAUCUCCUGAACCGACCAUAUCUCGCGCCAAUUUUUGAUUGUAGUAUAUUUAUGCACGCAUAUUCAUUUCGCCGGGUACUUAUUUCUUGAUUUUUGCGUAAAUUUUUUCGUUGAUAUUGCUUGUUUUAAUUUUUGUGUUGUAAUUGAUUCGUUAUAAAGAGUUCCGGUAGGUUUUCUUAAUAGUUCCGGAAGGUUUGCCGACAACCAUCAAGAAAGGCCAGAUAUAGCUGGAGAUUUAUCAGUAGCGACUUCUGAUCGCGCCUAUUUCGGAAUCUAGACAAUUUAAGCGUACAUAUUAAUUUUGUACGCUAUGUAUCUAUCAAUUUAUGCGUUACUAAUUCUGUUAUUAUUUAUCGUUUUGAAUUUCUGCGUAUAAUUGAUUUAUUUGACUGGAAGGUUUGCGAAAGAGUUCCGGUAGGCUUGCCUAAAAGUUCAGGAACGUUUGCUAUCAUGUUAUUUCACCUCGCGACCUUCCAAACAACCAUGAACAAAAGCCACACACUGCUUCAGAUUUAUCAGUAGCAACUAUGGUUCGCGCCUAUUCCGUAAUAUAGUCUAUUUAGGUGCACAUAUUCACUUUGUCGGCAACGUAUCUAUCGAUUUAUGCGUUAAUAUUUUCAUUAAUAUUUAUCGUUUGAAUUUCUACCUUAUAAUUUAAUGGUUUCCGAGAGUUUCCGAUGGUUUGCCAUUAUUUGCUUUCUGCUAGCGAUCUUCCAAACAACCAUUAACAAAAGCCAAAUGCCUCAAAAGGAUAUUGCAUUAGAUCAAUCUCUUAUAAGCGCGCACAUUGCGAACCGCAGCCGAUUCGUACGAAGCUAUUGUGUUGCGUUCUCCCCCUUAAAACGAUCGUUCGCAUCUACUCUAAAUUGUACCGUAAUUUCUGAUGUAUACUGUUGCUAUAUGUACAGUUGAAUGUAAGGGUUAAUAUAGUUAUUUAUUAUAAUUUACAAUUCUGAGUUAUAAUUGCAAGGAGAUCUGGAAGGUUUGGUUGCUGGGGACAACUGACAUUUUGAGAUAGCGACUUUCGAAACAAAUAUUAACAAACGUUAGACGGUCCCUUACAAAGAGCCUUCGUGUAGGUUCAUUGUAUGUCAAUGAAAUGAUCCGGCCUCCUCUGAUUUGAAUUCAUGCGCAUGUUUGCGUACAUGACUUUUCAGACGUAUUUGUGGACAAGAACUUUCUGUGCGACAAUGUUGUUGUGCACACAUGGACUUGCGGGCACCUCAUUUUACAGUCGGUGCAAAACUUCGUGUGAUAAGGAAAUGCGAUUUUUCUUUUUGCCAAGAAGGGCGCGUAUAUAAGGAAACCAGGCUGCAGUGGUUCGUGGUAUUACCGGGACACCUUCGUAUGGAAGAAGAUUUCGCCUAUUGGUCAUAGGGUGUCGAACUGAAAAGCAAAUGCAGCAAUCAGCGUCACUUGGUGUAAAAUUUUGAAACUGAGCUCUAGUACACCUGUUAAUAAAGCUAUUCAAGAGAG
This is a long non-coding RNA of Dermacentor andersoni, 3237 nucleotides long. RefSeq lists it as uncharacterized. Lineage: Eukaryota; Metazoa; Arthropoda; Arachnida; Ixodida; Ixodidae. The record is from RefSeq and is a predicted model, not a curated record.